Molecule: ribosomal RNA, 497 nt
Filed under: uncultured bacterium
Lineage: Bacteria
Description: partial 16S ribosomal RNA
Rfam family: Bacterial small subunit ribosomal RNA
Source: RNAcentral
GAUGAACGCUGGCGGCGUGCCUAAUACAUGCAAGUCGAGCGAACAGACGAGGAGCUUGCUCCUUUGUCGUUUGCGGCGGGCGGGUGAGAAACACGUGGAUACCCUACCUAUAAGUCUGGGAUCUCUUCGGGACUCGGGCGCUUAUACCGGAUGAUCUAUUGCUGCGUAUGGUUCAAUGGUGAAAGACGGUUUUUGUGUCACUUCUCGGUGGAUACGGGCCGCUUUAGCUAGUUGGUAAGGUACCGGCUUACCAAGGCAACGAUGCGUAGCCGAACGCAGAGGGGGAUAGGCCACACUGGAGCUUGAACGCGGACAUGACGCCUGCGGGACGCAGCAGUAGGGAAUCUUACGCAAUGGGCGAAAGCCUGGCGGAGCAACGCCGCGUGAGUGAUGAAGGUCUCCCGAUCGUAAAACUGUGUUAUGAGGGAAGAACAAAUGUGUAAGUAACUAUGCACGGCGUGACGGUACCUAAUCAGAAAGCCACGGCUAACUACGUG